Long non-coding RNA from Homo sapiens (human), 498 nucleotides. The record is from Ensembl. NCBI's taxonomy places the organism in Eukaryota, Metazoa, Chordata, Mammalia, Primates, Hominidae.
CAAACCACAUAACCAAAUGUGCCAAGAUAAUCCUGAGCUCACUCAUUGUCAGACUUUCAAAGUGGAAAAAAUAAACAACAUCAAUGUGGUAAAAUACCUAAGAAGAUAAUGGCUGUAAAUCUUUGAGAACUGAUGAGAGAAAGACUCUAAAGUUUCAGGAAAAAUAUAUCAGGAAGCCUGAUAUAUCCUGCAGGAACAAGGAAAAAUAAAAAGAAACCUAUGCUUACUACAUCAUAGCAGAACUGCAAAAUGGCAAAGGCAAAGAGAAGAUCUUAAAAGUGCUCAGAGCAAAAAAGACAGAUCAUCAGAAAGGAAAGAAGAAAAUUGAUUGACAGUUGAAUAACAGCAGCAGUGGACACCAGAAGAUAGUUCAAAUACUUUCAAAGUGCUUAGAAAAAACAAAAGCCAGUCCAAAAUUGUGUAUCCAGCAAAAGUAUCUUUCAAGAAUAAGGAUGAGGACCAAGAUGAGGUUAACAGGGAUCCACCUGAAAAAACUAA